AUGGAAUUUGGUGGCCUACUUUAACACAAUAUAUCGUUUUCUGGGAAAAAAAACUGCUGCAAGCAAGGCAACUCAGCUCCAGGACGAGCAAACAGAGAUGUGUCAACAGGAGACAGUAGAAGGGAAAUACUGACUGCAGACCUUUCGAGGCGGCUCGGGUCACUCGACAGAUUGUGUGUUCCUGGUUUACUGUUGGUCAAAGCCUCCCAGAUGGUCACCUGUGAGAAUGGAGAUGAAUCAGGUGUGUGAGACGGUUUUAAACCAUCAGGUGUCCGGACUGGAUGAGACACGAUAAAUCCUAACUCUAAUCCUAACAUAAUAUGUGACCCUGGAUGACAAAACCAGUCCUCUAAGUAGCGCGUGGACAUUUUUAGUAAAAGCCAAAAAUACAUUGUAUGGGUCAAAAUUAUCGAUUUUUCUUUUAUUCUAAAAAUCAACAGGAUAUUAAGUAAAGAUCAUGUUCCAUGAAGAUAUUUAGUAAAUUUCCAACCUUAAAUAUAUAAAAACUUUAUUUUUGUGAGUGGAUGGCUUGCAACAGCGCCAAUGAUUAAUAACUUAAAAGGCAAUUUUCUAAAUAUUUCGAUUUUUUCGCACUCUCAGAUUUCUGAGUUUUAAACGGUUGUAUCUCUGUCAGAUAUUGUCAUAUCCUAACAACUCAUACAUCAAUAGAAAGCUUUAUUCUUUCAGAUUAUGUAAAAAAACUCAAUUUCGAAAAAUUGACCCAUAAAACUGGUUUAGUUGUUCAGGGUCACAUAUGAGAUAAAGAAGCUACAUUUAUGACACCUUUGUUUUCUAUUGUGAGUUGUGAUGCAAAUGACAGAUUGAGUUUUCAGUCCUUUUCCAUUCAAGCAGACAGGAGCUCUACUUAUUUGACUAUUACACAGAACAUAGCCUCCAGGGGACGUUGCCAAGAUGACCGCAGAGUUAACUCUAUUUAUGUCAAAUCACACUGUAAAUCCCCAAUCACGGUGAACUCUUACUGGUAAAAAAAACGUUCAAAUAUGUAUAUUAUAGUACAAUACAUAACUUUAGCCUCUCUAUCGCCCCCUCUGAACAACAGUCUCACGGCAACUUGUGACAUACGUGAAAAAAAUCAGAAUCUAUUGAUUUUUCCACUUUUUUCAUGACCGUCAGCACAACCUUUUUUGUGUCGCCCAACAUGACUUUCAAUAUAUCGUUUGUAUAUAUAGGGAUCUAUAUUUUGCUAAAAUGCACACAUUUUACGAGGUGGCAAAGCAAUGAUAAAGACCCACCCGGCCUGCACCUAACCCCAAUGUUACAUGCCUCAAGUCAAAUCAUACUACAAAAUAUAAAAACUAAUAUUAUACGGUCACCUUGUAAAUAAGUACGAAUUCAUGUCAGAUUGUGUUGAAAAUAUGAAAGAUAUGAAAGAUACUUCCUAUUGAAAUACAUUAGAUUGAAUGUCGUUCUGAGUGAAACGAGAAAAUGGGAAAUUUGUUCAGAAUUUUAGUAUGCUCUAAAAUAGCUUUAAUGGUACUCUACAUCCUCCCUUUAUUAAGUAUAUGGUGAUUAAUGAAUAUGCAAAUUGCUCUCCGUCUCCACUCAAACACACCAGCUCGGACCACCUUAUCCCCUCCACUGUGUGACGUAAAAAAUGGGUGGCGUUUUUGAGACUGACAAACUGCAAUAUUUAUCAAUGAUUUUCAUCUAAAACAAAAAAAUUCACCACACAAGGUCUUAAACUGACAUCUGUCAACUCAAGUGUUUCCCGCAAUAAAAUGUACCCAACAGCUCAACCUAUAAAUCAUUAUUAUAGAUAACUGUUGUUAAUCUGAGGUAGGUAGAUUUUUUUAUUUACGUCCUCAGUAACUUAUUUUUGUUUAUUUUUUACAAAAAACUUACAAUUUUUUGCUUUAAACCUCAACUUUUUUCUGACUGCCUGUGAUCUUGUCACUUAGCUUAGCAUUUUCCCCUCAUGAAGGACGGAAAUGUUACUUGAUACAUUGCACCUGACGUGUGAUCGGACACAGUGUUCAUGUAACAUAUAUUUCUGGAGUAUGUUGACAUGCCCAUCUGUUAACGUGCGGAAGCUUGUGUGCACA
Long non-coding RNA from Triplophysa dalaica, 2063 nucleotides. RefSeq lists it as uncharacterized. The record is from RefSeq and is a predicted model, not a curated record. NCBI's taxonomy places the organism in Eukaryota, Metazoa, Chordata, Actinopteri, Cypriniformes, Nemacheilidae. The transcript is spliced from 3 exons.